UUAAUUGAAGCCAAAAAGAGGCAUAUCACUGUUAAUGAUAAAAUUGGAAUUAUUGCCCAAUUAAA
Molecule: transfer RNA, 65 nt
Filed under: Onthophagus rorarius
Lineage: Eukaryota; Metazoa; Arthropoda; Insecta; Coleoptera; Scarabaeidae
Description: tRNA-Asn
Source: RNAcentral